AUUGAACGCUGGCGGCAGGCCUAACACAUGCAAGUCGGACGGUAGCACAGAGAGCUUGCUCUUGGGUGACGAGUGGCGGACGGGUGAGUAAUGUCUGGGGAUCUGCCCGAUAGAGGGGGAUAACCACUGGAAACGGUGGCUAAUACCGCAUAACGUCGCAAGACCAAAGAGGGGGACCUUCGGGCCUCUCACUGUCGGAUGAACCCAGUUGGGAUUAGCUAGUAGGCGGGGUAAUGGCCCACCUAGGCGACGAUCCCUAGCUGGUCUGAGAGGGUGACCAGCCACACUGGAACUGAGACACGGUCCAGACUCCUACGGGAGGCAGCAGUGGGGAAUAUUGCACAAUGGGCGCAAGCCUGAUGCAGCCAUGCCGCGUGUAUGAAGAAGGUCUUCGGGUUGUAAAGUACUUUCAGCGGGGAGGAAGGCGGUGCGGUUAAUAACCGUACCGAUUGACGUUACCCGCAGAAGAAGCACCGGCUAACUCCGUGCCAGCAGCCGCCGUAA
This 504-nucleotide ribosomal RNA is filed under the name uncultured bacterium. RNAcentral describes it as "partial 16S ribosomal RNA". It matches the Rfam family "Bacterial small subunit ribosomal RNA", at positions 29 to 523 of the family's 1533-position model. The record is from RNAcentral.